UACAGAGGUCCCAAGCGUUGUUCGGAUUCACUGGGCGUAAAGGGUGCGUAGGUGGUGAGGUAAGUCGGAUGUGAAAGCUCGGAGCUCAACUCCGAAAUGGCAUUGGAAACUACCUUGCUCGAGGGUUGGAGGGGGGACUGGAAUACUUGGUGUAGCAGUGAAAUGCGUAGAUAUCAAGUGGAACUCCAGUGGCGAAGGCGAGUCCCUGGACAACUCCUGACACUGAGGCACGAAAGCUAGGGGAGCAAACAGG
Molecule: ribosomal RNA, 253 nt
Filed under: uncultured bacterium
Lineage: Bacteria
Description: partial 16S ribosomal RNA
Rfam family: Bacterial small subunit ribosomal RNA
Source: RNAcentral